Fukomys damarensis (Damara mole-rat) is the source of this 451-nucleotide long non-coding RNA. RefSeq lists it as uncharacterized. The record is from RefSeq and is a predicted model, not a curated record. Lineage: Eukaryota; Metazoa; Chordata; Mammalia; Rodentia; Bathyergidae. The transcript has 3 exons.
UGCCCAGCAGGCACACCACAGCACUGCUCUUGACAGUGGUAGAUAAAACUAAUGCAUCCCCACAACUUCACACGAUCCCAACAUGUACGAUUUGGAGAAGGUGUGGAAGCUAUUGUAUCUGGGUGUUACUCAUCUUAGGCUUUCUGUGGGAGAACCUGACUUCACAGUCCACGGUUUCAAACAGCAACUGUAAAUCAUUUGACACAACUGUGUUAAGCAAUACUCAUUUGCCAACGUGGAUCAAGCUUCUAGUCUGAUUCCUAGGAGCUACCAUAUCAUCUGAGUUUCUCCAAUGAGUUCAAAGAUCUCAUCGGGAGAUCAAAGAGAAAAAGACACUGCAAUUGAAGUCAGCAUGCGCUUGAUCAGCUUUCUUCAUCAGAAGUACUCAUCUAAGGUGUAGCCCAUGACAUGCGAGGAAUAAAAGAAUGGCUGCCACCAAGACAUCAACCCA